RNAcentral lists this ribosomal RNA (492 nucleotides) under uncultured bacterium. RNAcentral describes it as "partial 16S ribosomal RNA". It matches the Rfam family "Bacterial small subunit ribosomal RNA", at positions 29 to 507 of the family's 1533-position model. The record is from RNAcentral.
AGUGAACGCUGGCGGUAGGCCUAACACAUGCAAGUCGAACGGCAGCACAGUAAGAGCUUGCUCUUACGGGUGGCGAGUGGCGGACGGGUGAGGAAUACAUCGGAAUCUACUUUUUCGUGGGGGAUAACGUAGGGAAACUUACGCUAAUACCGCAUACGACCUACGGGUGAAAGCAGGGGAUCUUCGGACCUUGCGCGAUUGAAUGAGCCGAUGUCGGAUUAGCUAGUUGGCGGGGUAAAGGCCCACCAAGGCGACGAUCCGUAGCUGGUCUGAGAGGAUGAUCAGCCACACUGGAACUGAGACACGGUCCAGACUCCUACGGGAGACAGCAGUGGGGAAUAUUGGACAAAGGGCGCAAGCCUGAUCCAGCCAUACCGCGUGGGUGAAGAAGGCCUUCGGGUUGUAAAGCCCUUUUGUUGGGAAAGAAAAGCAGCAGGUUAAUACCCCGCUGUUCUGACGGUACCCAAAGAAUAAGCACCGGCUAACUUCGUG